CGGGGGGGCAAGCGUUGUUCGGAAUUACUGGGCGUAAAGGGCGCGUAGGCGGCUCGCUAAGUCGGGUGUGAAAACUCUGGGCUCAACCCAGAGCCUGCACUCGAAACUGACGAGCUAGAGUUCUGGAGGGGAAAGCGGAAUUCCUGGUGUAGCAGUGAAAUGCGUAGAUAUCAGGAGGAACACCGGUGGCGAAGGCGGCUUCCUGGACAGAAACUGACGCUGAGGCGCGAAAGCUAGGGGAGCAAACAGGAUUAGAUACCCUGGUAGUCCUAGCCCUAAACGAUGGAUACUUGCUGUGAGGGGGAUUGAAUCCCUUCGUGGCGAAGCUAACGCAUUAAGUAUCCCGCCUGAGGAGUACGGUCGCAAGGCUG
This 371-nucleotide ribosomal RNA is filed under the name uncultured organism. RNAcentral's name for it is "bacterial SSU rRNA". It matches the Rfam family "Bacterial small subunit ribosomal RNA", at positions 527 to 896 of the family's 1533-position model. The record is from RNAcentral.